CCUACGGGAGGCAGCAGUGAGGAAUAUUGGUCAAUGGACGAGAGUCUGAACCAGCCAAGUAGCGUGAAGGAUGACUGCCCUAUGGGUUGUAAACUUCUUUUAUAAAGGAAUAAAACGAGGCACGUGUGCCUUUUUGCAUGUACUUUAUGAAUAAGGAUCGGCUAACUCCGUGCCAGCAGCCGCGGUAAUACGGAGGAUCCGAGCGUUAUCCGGAUUUAUUGGGUUUAAAGGGAGCGUAGAUGGGUUGUUAAGUCAGUUGUGAAAGUUUGCGGCUCAACCGUAAAAUUGCAAUUGAUACUGGCAGUCGUGAGUACAGUUGAGGUAGGCGGAAUUCGUGGUGUAGCGGUGAAAUGCUUAGAUAGCACGAAGAACCCCGAUUGCGAAGGCAGCUUACUAAACUGUGACUGACAUUGAUGCUCGAAAGUGUGGGUAUCAAACAGGAUUAGAUACCCCAGUAGUC
RNAcentral lists this ribosomal RNA (460 nucleotides) under uncultured bacterium. RNAcentral describes it as "partial 16S ribosomal RNA". It matches the Rfam family "Bacterial small subunit ribosomal RNA", at positions 338 to 795 of the family's 1533-position model. The record is from RNAcentral.